GAUGAGAGGUACGCCUUCAAAUUCGACCACCCGUUAACAGGAGAAGCGACUGAUCGAGCAAGGGACGGAUAAUGUCGGGCCGAAGAACACAUGAACGUCGUGGUCC
This 106-nucleotide small RNA is filed under the name Arabidopsis thaliana (thale cress). RNAcentral describes it as "ATSL093730". Lineage: Eukaryota; Viridiplantae; Streptophyta; Magnoliopsida; Brassicales; Brassicaceae. The record is from RNAcentral.